GUGAGGAAUAUUGGUCAAUGGGCGGGAGCCUGAACCAGCCAAGUCGCGUGAAGGAAGAAGGAUCUAUGGUUCGUAAACUUCUUUUGCAGGGGAAUAAAGUGCAGGACGUGUCCUGUUUUGUAUGUACCCUGAGAAUAAGGAUCGGCUAACUCCGUGCCAGCAGCCGCGGUAAUACGGAGGAUCCGAGCGUUAUCCGGAUUUAUUGGGUUUAAAGGGUGCGUAGGUGGUUUGAUAAGUCAGCGGUGAAAGUUUGCAGCUUAACUGUAAAAAUGCCGUUGAAACUGUCGGACUUGAGUGUAAAUGAGGUAGGCGGAAUGCGUGGUGUAGCGGUGAAAUGCAUAGAUAUCACGCAGAACUCCGAUUGCGAAGGCAGCUUACUGGGAUGCAACUGACGCUGAGGCACGAAAGCGUGGGGAUCAAACAGGAUUAGAAACCCGGGUAGUCC
RNAcentral lists this ribosomal RNA (445 nucleotides) under uncultured bacterium. RNAcentral's name for it is "partial 16S ribosomal RNA". It matches the Rfam family "Bacterial small subunit ribosomal RNA", at positions 354 to 796 of the family's 1533-position model. The record is from RNAcentral.